UUGGAGGGCAAGUCUGGUGCCAGCAGCCGCGGUAAUUCCAGCUCCAAUAGCGUAUAUUAAAGUUGUUGCAGUUAAAAAGCUCGUAGUUGAAUUUCGGGAUUAGUACGUUGGUCGUGCCUUCGGUACGUACUGGUGUUACUGAUUUCUACCUUCUGACGAACCAUCAUGUCAUUAAUUUGGUGUGGUGAGGAAUCAGGACUGUUACUUUGAAAAAAUUAGAGUGUUUAAAGCAGGCUCGCGCUUGAAUACAUUAGCAUGGAAUAAUGAAAUAGGACGUUGACCCUAUUUUGUUGGUUUCUAGGAUUGACGUAAUGAUUAAUAGGGAUAGUUGGGGGCAUUAGUAUUCAAUUGUCAGAGGUGAAAUUCUUGGAUUUAUUGAAGACUAACUACUGCGAAAGCAUUUGCCAAGGAUGUUUUCAUUAAUCAAGUACGAAAGUUAGGGGAUCGAAGACGAUCAGAUACCGUCGUAGUCUUAACCAUAAACUAUGCCGACUAGGGAUCGGAUGAUGUUAUUUUUAAUGACUCAUUCGGCGCCUUACGGGAAAC
RNAcentral lists this ribosomal RNA (546 nucleotides) under uncultured Glomus. RNAcentral describes it as "SSU rRNA". It matches the Rfam family "Eukaryotic small subunit ribosomal RNA", at positions 548 to 1098 of the family's 1831-position model. The record is from RNAcentral. Lineage: Eukaryota; Fungi; Glomeromycota; Glomeromycetes; Glomerales; Glomeraceae.